This is a long non-coding RNA of Triticum aestivum (bread wheat), 1139 nucleotides long. RefSeq lists it as uncharacterized. The record is from RefSeq and is a predicted model, not a curated record. The transcript is spliced from 3 exons. Lineage: Eukaryota; Viridiplantae; Streptophyta; Magnoliopsida; Poales; Poaceae.
GCUCCCGAGCACUCCAUCGACCUCAUCUAGCUCCCAGCUCUCUCCCGAGCCUCUCAACCCCUCGCCGGAGCCCCUCCUGUCCUCCCGCUGCCACCACGGCCAUCGCCGGCCGCCGCUCAAAUUCGAGCAGUCCGGCCACUCCCCCUCACUUAGCUUCCACCAGAGGAGCCCUCUCGAUCCCCUGAUCCUCCCCACAUCUUCCUUUCCCCUCCGGAGUAACCACAUCGCCGACUGCAUCCAUGGCCGACGACCUCCUCCGCUGGCGUCCCUUCUGCUGCUCCCUCCUUCCUCCUUGGAGGUCGUGCCAUGCACCAGUCGAUGCGCCCCGUUCCGCUGAUCACCCCAGUAGGCGGAGCGGCGCGAGAGGUGGCCGGAGUCGCCGGGGAUCCUCGCCGGGGCUGUCGGGCUCGCUCCCGCCUCUGCACGCCGUCGGGGUGGAGAAGAAGGAAGAGCAGGGAGGAGAGAGAAAGAGGCAGGCCCACCUGUCAGCGAGACAAGUCCCGGUCCCGCCUCUGCCACGUCACUUAAGUGAAAGCGGAAUUCCUAGAAUACACUUUCCAGCUGACCGCCGGCCGAAUCCUCUAGUUUGUGAACGUUCACCCGUUAGUAACAGAAAAGCAUAUAUUUUUAUUUGUUUUUCUGCUAACGAACGAACGGCUGUAACUUUUUGCUCAAGACUCCGAUUGAGUCCCUUUCGAGAGAGAAGUGUUUCCGGCAAAUCUUUCCGCGAUCUUUCCGCACAUCUUCCCGAUGGUUUCUUCGUCCCCAGGCAAGCCACAACACCCACUUGCAUGAUGGCCAUGCAGUAGCCAUGGUUUUCAACUUGAAUAUUUAAUAAAUGUCUGCUUGUUUUGAUACGGUUAUCGUUGUUUUGGUGAUGCUUAUGGAUUUGUGUUCACUAUCAUGCUAUGCUUUCUUGCACUUUGUUAUCAUGAACUACUUGCUAGUAUUACUUUCAUAUUUCCAUGCUUGAUAGUAGCACAUGUUGGGUUGUUCAUUGAGGGAGUCCUGGACUAAGGGGUCCUCGGGCGUCCGGCUUGUUGGACAUGGGCCGGACUUAUGGGCUGUGAAGAUACAAGAUCGAAGACUUUCUCCCGUGUCCGGAUAGGACUCUCCUUGGCGUGGAAGGCAAGCUUGAC